GGCGCGCGAUACAGGGUGACAGCCCCGUACACAAAAGCGCAUGUGCUGUGAGCUCGAUGAGUAGGGCGGGACACGUGGUAUCCUGUCUGAAUAUGGGGGGACCAUCCUCCAAGGCUAAAUACUCCUGACUGACCGAUAGUGAACCAGUACCGUGAGGGAAAGGCGAAAAGAACCCCGGCGAGGGGAGUGAAAAAGAACCUGAAACCGUGUACGUACAAGCAGUGGGAGCACCCUUUGGGUGUGACUGCGUACCUUUUGUAUAAUGGGUCAGCGACUUAUAUUCUGUAGCAAGGUUAACCGAAUAGGGGAGCCGGAGGGAAACCGAGUCUUAACCGGGCGUUAAGUUGCAGGGUAUAGACCCGAAACCCGGUGAUCUAGCCAUGGGCAGGUUGAAGGUUGGGUAACACUAACUGGAGGACCGAACCGACUAAUGUUGAAAAAUUAGCGGAUGACCUGUGGCUGGGGGUGAAAGGCCAAUCAAACCGGGAGAUAGCUGGUUCUCCCCGAAAGCUAUUUAGGUAGCGCCUCGUGAAUUCAUCUCCGGGGGUAGAGCACUGUUUCGGCUAGGGGGCCAUCCCGGCUUACCAACCCGAUGCAAACUGCGAAUACCGGAGAAUGUUAUCACGGGAGACACACGGCGGGUGCUAACGUCCGUCGUGAAGAGGGAAACAACCCAGACCGCCAGCUAAGGUCCCAAAGUCAUGGUUAAGUGGGAAACGAUGUGGGAAGGCCCAGACAGCCAGGAUGUUGGCUUAGAAGCAGCCAUCAUUUAAAGAAAGCGUAAUAGCUCACUGGUCGAGUCGGCCUGCGCGGAAGAUGUAACGGGGCUAAACCAUG
Molecule: ribosomal RNA, 837 nt
Filed under: Salmonella enterica
Lineage: Bacteria; Pseudomonadati; Pseudomonadota; Gammaproteobacteria; Enterobacterales; Enterobacteriaceae
Description: partial 23S ribosomal RNA
Rfam family: Bacterial large subunit ribosomal RNA
Source: RNAcentral